UGAUUAGAAGCUUGCUUCUAUGACGUUAGCGGCGGACGGGUGAGUAACACGUGGGCAACCUGCCUGUAAGACUGGGAUAACUUCGGGAAACCGAAGCUAAUACCGGAUAGGAUCUUCUCCUUCAUGGGAGAUGAUUGAAAGAUGGUUUCGGCUAUCACUUACAGAUGGGCCCGCGGUGCAUUAGCUAGUUGGUGAGGUAACGGCUCACCAAGGCAACGAUGCAUAGCCGACCUGAGAGGGUGAUCGGCCACACUGGGACUGAGACACGGCCCAGACUCCUACGGGAGGCAGCAGUAGGGAAUCUUCCGCAAUGGACGAAAGUCUGACGGAGCAACGCCGCGUGAGUGAUGAAGGCUUUCGGGUCGUAAAACUCUGUUGUUAGGGAAGAACAAGUACAAGAGUAACUGCUUGUACCUUGACGGUACCUAACCAGAAAGCCACGGCUAACUACGUGCCAGCAGCCGCGGUAAUACGUAGGUGGCAAGCGUUAUCCGGAAUUAUUGGGCGUAAAGCGCGCGCAGGCGGUUUCUUAAGUCUGAUGUGAAAGCCCACGGCUCAACCGUGGAGGGUCAUUGGAAACUGGGGAACUUGAGUGCAGAAGAGAAAAGCGGAAUUCCACGUGUAGCGGUGAAAUGCGUAGAGAUGUGGAGGAACACCAGUGGCGAAGGCGGCUUUUUGGUC
This 681-nucleotide ribosomal RNA is filed under the name uncultured bacterium. Its description in RNAcentral is "bacterial SSU rRNA". It matches the Rfam family "Bacterial small subunit ribosomal RNA", at positions 69 to 734 of the family's 1533-position model. The record is from RNAcentral.